UUUGAUUUUCUCCCCCAGACCUUCGCCGGGGAGUGCCGGGAGUUGUAGUCUUCCUCCCGCCUGUGCAGCGCUCCUUCUCAUGGGCUGCUUGCUGGGACCGAGCUGAAGAAAUUGCUGCUGAAAUUUUAGAAAGCCACUGAAACAAUAAAGUCGCCAUCGCUGUCCCGUAUCGAAGCCAAAAUUGUGGUUCGUCUAGAGAUUUACCGUCUGGCGUGAAAAGCUACACCUGGGGGGGAAAAAAACUCCACAAUGCGGCA
This is a long non-coding RNA of Spea bombifrons (plains spadefoot toad), 257 nucleotides long. RefSeq lists it as uncharacterized. The record is from RefSeq and is a predicted model, not a curated record. NCBI's taxonomy places the organism in Eukaryota, Metazoa, Chordata, Amphibia, Anura, Pelobatidae. The transcript has 3 exons.